Molecule: ribosomal RNA, 253 nt
Filed under: uncultured bacterium
Lineage: Bacteria
Description: partial 16S ribosomal RNA
Rfam family: Bacterial small subunit ribosomal RNA
Source: RNAcentral
UACGAAGGGUGCAAGCGUUACUCGGAAUUACUGGGCGUUAAAGCGUGCGUAGGUGGUUUGUUAAGUCUGUUGUGAAAGCCCCGGGCUCAACCUGGGAAUGGCAAUGGAUACUGGCAGGCUAGAGUGCGGUAGAGGGUAGUGGAAUUCCCGGUGUAGCGGUGAAAUGCGCAGAUAUCAGGAGGAACACCUGUGGCGAAAGCGGCUCACUGGACCACAACUGACGCUGAGGCGCGAAAGCUGGGGGAGCAACAGG